RNAcentral lists this long non-coding RNA (263 nucleotides) under Lathyrus oleraceus (garden pea). Its description in RNAcentral is "Pisum sativum (pea) long non-coding RNA (PSAT_LNC034037)". Lineage: Eukaryota; Viridiplantae; Streptophyta; Magnoliopsida; Fabales; Fabaceae. The record is from RNAcentral.
UUGACCUUUGCUUUGGGAGUUUGUGAUUUGAGACCUUGGGAUUCAUUUGGUACCUUUGACUUUGGAUUUAUUUUGAUGACUUGACUUGGUUACUUUGGUUUCAUCUGACCCAUGGAUUAUUCUUUGCUUAUUUGGCUUGCUUGAGGCUUAAUCCAAAGGAGGGAAUUCUUUCUUGACUUAUGUCAUAAAGUUUUCUAUCUCUUGGUUAGAUAUUUCCUCCCUAGAUUUUACUUUAUGUUCUAGGAUAGUCUUUUCAUCUCCUC